Long non-coding RNA from Nylanderia fulva, 1281 nucleotides. RefSeq lists it as uncharacterized. Lineage: Eukaryota; Metazoa; Arthropoda; Insecta; Hymenoptera; Formicidae. The record is from RefSeq and is a predicted model, not a curated record.
AAUUUGCAUGCUGACUACUUUUCCUACGCGCAUGCUCGUUUCGUUUUUACCCAUCCCUACACAGUCCCCACCACACGAAAAAAGAGAAGUCCUUUAGGUCUUUCAACGCUGUCUCCUACGGUAGGGGCCGAUCUAUGUCUUUUAUAUCUAUGAUUGAAGGAGUGCGAGUGAGACAGCUAUACGGACAUGCGCGGGUCGCGCUUGUCUAUCAGUGUCUCGUUCCCUCCGUCGUACAUUUCUGACGUCGGACACCAUUCCUGCCGGUCAGUGUACACACAUAACAGUCACUAGCACAUUGGCAGACUCGGACUCUUCGUGAUUCGAUGGCAAAUUCUCCAUGGGAUCGGUCUCUUCGCUGCAACCUUCGGUGCUGUCAGCCGCGCUGGCGCGCGGCACCAUCGCCGAAGAGUCCUCCUUCUUGUCCCUCGACUCGCCAUUACUGACUCCCAUGACAAUGGUGGAUUGCUGUUGCUGCUGCUGUAGUUUGUGCAUGUGACUGCGUAGCUUUGAAAUCUCAUGCGCGUCCAAUUGCCGAAGACGUCGCAGCUGAGCGUUCUCCGAGGCCACGCGACGCGCCAGCUCUAUCACAUCCUGCGGCACGUUGAGCGCUCUCAGUUGCUCCUCAAGAUCGGCUGCCGCGGUGCCGUCCGAGUCGGAGUCGCUCUCGGACGGCGAGGAGGUGGUACCGACCUCGGAGGAGGUCGCCAGGGGAAGAGGCUCCACUGUCACCGUGGACGACGUCACUGCCGCGCUACUCUCUUCCUCUUCUACACCUUCCUUUUCCCUCCUUUCUUUUUUUCCAGGUAGCGCCGGUUCCUUUCGACUCAUUUCAUCGGGCACGUAGUACACGGGAUAAGAAUCGACAGGUUCAGCGUCUUGGCUCAACGAUGUUUUCUCCAGCUUGACAUCGGCCGCCGACAGCAGUUCUUGUUUCUCGCUCAUGGGACUCGUCGAACGUAAACUGUGACGGUGGCGAUGAUGAUGCUCGUGAUGAUGAUGAUGCCGUCGUUGGUGAACGGACGAGAGAGGCGAUAUCCGACCUAUCUGAGGAGGUGUCGUCGUAAUAGGCGCUAACGCCACGUUAGGCUGAAAGUGCGGCUCGAAACGCUCGCACUCCGAAAGCGGGAUAACUCGUUCAGGAUGUUGCAGUACAGGUGGACCUCGACUGAGGUACGCAGGUAGCAACGACGAACUGCAAAGACAAUAACUGUUACUAUAAUAUGCUGAAGAUAAUUAAGAGCAUGAGUGAGAGAAAUAAAAGCUCGUUAUAUAGUUUCUAUA